AGUGAACGCUGGCGGUAGGCCUAACACAUGCAAGUCGAACGGCAGCACAGUAAGAGCUUGCUCUUACGGGUGGCGAGUGGCGGACGGGUGAGGAAUACAUCGGAAUCUACUUUUUCGUGGGGGAUAACGUAGGGAAACUUACGCUAAUACCGCAUACGACCUACGGGUGAAAGCAGGGGUUCUUCGGACCUUGCGCGUUUGAAUGAGCCGAUGUCGGAUUAGCUAGUUGGCGGGGUAAAGGCCCACCAAGGCGACGAUCCGUAGCUGGUCUGAGAGGAUGAUCAGCCACACUGGAACUGAGACACGGUCCAGACUCCUACGGGAGGCAGCAGUGGGGAAUAUUGGACAAUGGGCGCAAGCCUGAUCCAGCCAUACCGCGUGGGUGAAGAAGGCCUUCGGGUUGUAAAGCCCUUUUGUUGGGAAAGAAAAGCAGCAGGUUAAUACCCCGCUGUUCUGACGGUACCCAAAGAAUAAGCACCGGCUAACUUCGUG
RNAcentral lists this ribosomal RNA (492 nucleotides) under uncultured bacterium. Its description in RNAcentral is "partial 16S ribosomal RNA". It matches the Rfam family "Bacterial small subunit ribosomal RNA", at positions 29 to 507 of the family's 1533-position model. The record is from RNAcentral.